CCUACGGGAGGCAGCAGUGAGGAAUAUUGGUCAAUGGGCGGGAGCCUGAACCAGCCAAGUCGCGUGAGUGAAGACGGUCCUAUGGAUUGUAAACCUCUUUAGGCGGGGAGCAAUGCCGGGCACGUGUGCCCGGAGGGAGAGUACCCGCAGAAUAAGCAUCGGCUAACUCCGUGCCAGCAGCCGCGGUAAUACGGAGGAUGCGAGCGUUAUCCGGAUUUAUUGGGUGUAAAGGGAGCGUAGGCGGGUUGUUAAGUCAGUUGUGAAAGUUUGCUGCUCAACCGUAGAAUUGCAGUUGAAGCUGGCAGUCUUGAGUACAGUAGAGGUGGGCGGAAUUCGUGGUGUAGCGGUGAAAUGCUUAGAUAUCACGAAGAACUCCGAUUGCGAAGGCAGCUCACUGGACUGCAACUGACACUGAGGCUCGAAAGUGUGGGGAUCAAACAGGAUUAGAUACCCUUGUAGUC
This 461-nucleotide ribosomal RNA is filed under the name uncultured bacterium. Its description in RNAcentral is "partial 16S ribosomal RNA". It matches the Rfam family "Bacterial small subunit ribosomal RNA", at positions 338 to 795 of the family's 1533-position model. The record is from RNAcentral.